RNAcentral lists this ribosomal RNA (422 nucleotides) under uncultured bacterium. RNAcentral's name for it is "bacterial SSU rRNA". It matches the Rfam family "Bacterial small subunit ribosomal RNA", at positions 358 to 772 of the family's 1533-position model. The record is from RNAcentral.
GGAAUAUUGGACAAUGGGCGCAAGCCUGAUCCAGCCAUGCCGCGUGUGUGAAGAAGGCCUUCGGGUUGUAAAGCACUUUUGUACGGGAAGAAAAGCACUCGGUUAAUACCCGGGCGUCCUUACGGUACCGUCAGAAUAAGACCCGGCUAACUUCGUGCACGCAGCCGCGGUAAUACGAAGGUUGCAAGCGUUACUCGGAAUUACUGGGCGUAAAGCGUGCGUAGGUGGUUUGUUAAGUCUGAUGUGAAAGCCCUGGGCUCAACCUGGGAAUUGCAUUGGAUACUGGCAGUCUAGAGUGCGGUAGAGGGUAGCGGAAUUCCCGGUGUAGCAGUGAAAUGCGUAGAUAUCGGGAGGAACAUCCGUGGCGAAGGCGGCUACCUGGACCAGCACUGACACUGAGGCACGAAAGCGUGGGGAGCAAA